CUCACACUCACACUCACACUCACACACACACACAAGCAAGUCAUAUUAUCCUAAUCUGUGUCACAAAAAACAACAAACAUUUUGUAGAGAAAAUGAUUUGAUGCAUUGCCUUUCAUGUUAAUGGAUGACCAACGGAAACAGCGAGAGAGAACAACAACUGCUAUCGUAAAGAUGAUCUCUUCGCUCAAUGUUCUCUCUCUGUGGCUGCGUCAACGCAGUAGGCUCCCAGCACAUUAAAUGAGCUCCACAAUAAUUAAAGCUGCAUGGCAAACAGUCCUCCUUUCCUUUAUUCAGUGAUAUGACGUUUGGUAAUCAUUGUAGGAUAAUGGCUACAUUUAGACAUUUGAGACGUGCAUGUCACCCUGUCUACAUCCCUGUCUACAUUUCUACACAAUCAGAGUAAGAGAAAGAAAAGAGCCUGUUGGGUCGUUGUCAUUCCCUGUUGCUUUUCUUAUUUCUUCAUUAUUCCUCACAGUCUGCUUCUUGUCGCGUUACGUAACGUCCCCCUAUCACUCGAUUGGCCCGCGGGGCGUCAGCGUGAAGUUAUGGGAAAACAAAAGGGUGAGGACACAGGUUGAGCCAAUUAAACGAUGCAAAAGCCAAGGGAUAUGCCUUUCGGUAUUGUUCUUGCCCGGGAGGGAAAAUGUCACAGCAGUGGCGCUGGUGCUGGCGCUGCUUUGGAGCGGAUCUGACACUCCGCAGAGGGAGGUCAAAGGCCAGCAGCAGAGGGAGGUCAAAGGCCACUAACAGAGUGGUUGGAACAAAACAGAAGCAGUGGGUGGUCCGGGGGAAGAUGGCUGACCCACCUCUGGUGGUCCAACAUCAAGAGGACUGGAGGACAAAGACAAUAAUACAUGGAGCAGCUCCCUGGACUCUGUCUACUCUGGCUGCACAGGAAAUGGAGCAAGACUGCAGAGUGGAGGACACAAAUGGACAUUCAAAAGUGAGCGACUUUGACAGCAUGGGGGCGGUCGUGGUGGUGUGGCAGCAACACAGCCACCGUAGUGUGUCUGUGGGAAGGGGAUAGAACUGCAUGUAAUGACAGAUACCCUGUGGGGCUCUAUAUCCUCCUGCUGUUGUAUGGAAUCAGGUAGCUUCACUUCAUAGAAUGGGGGAGGGAGGGAAAUGGGGGUAAAUGUAGCCUGUACAUUACUGGUACUAUUACAUAUGAUUCAGACACUGUGGCUGAUUACCUCAUAAUAGGAAUGCCUUAUCACUUGUAUUAUCAGUGUUAUGUUAUACUGCACUAUGUUAUAGCAAGAGAUCAAAUGCAUUUUCUGUGUUUUAAAAGUGUACUUUUCCAUUGGAAAAUAUAGGAAAUGCUUCUUCA
Long non-coding RNA from Salmo salar (Atlantic salmon), 1330 nucleotides. RefSeq lists it as uncharacterized. The record is from RefSeq and is a predicted model, not a curated record. Lineage: Eukaryota; Metazoa; Chordata; Actinopteri; Salmoniformes; Salmonidae.